GAAAGCUGCUCGUCUUCAUUAACCUCAAUGUUAAAUGGAGCAUAGAGAAGGAUGAAUUCGUAGCGCAAGAUUCAAGUGGUCUGAGAGUGGAAAAACUGGAGGAGGUUUCAGGGAAGGAGCUCUUCAAAGACGCCCAGUAUAUGGUCUAUCCAGUGAGGGGCUUUCCUGAUGUUUCUGUUGCACAAGGCUGCU
This is a long non-coding RNA of Sinocyclocheilus anshuiensis, 192 nucleotides long. RefSeq lists it as uncharacterized. The transcript has 3 exons. NCBI's taxonomy places the organism in Eukaryota, Metazoa, Chordata, Actinopteri, Cypriniformes, Cyprinidae. The record is from RefSeq and is a predicted model, not a curated record.